Long non-coding RNA from Xyrauchen texanus (razorback sucker), 713 nucleotides. RefSeq lists it as uncharacterized. Lineage: Eukaryota; Metazoa; Chordata; Actinopteri; Cypriniformes; Catostomidae. The transcript is spliced from 3 exons. The record is from RefSeq and is a predicted model, not a curated record.
GGCGCCGAGGGAGGCUCAGGAGACGGAGCCGAGGGAGGUGGAGUCGCAGGAGGCCCCAGGGGCGAGGCCCUGGUGGGCUCUGGAGGUGGAGCCGAAGGAGGCUUUAGGGGCGAAGGCCUGGAAGGCUCAGGAAGUGGAGCCCAUGGAGGUGGCGCCGUAGGAGGCUCCAGAGGUGAAGCCCUGGAAGGCUCUGGAGGCAGAGCCGAGGGAGGUGACGCCGUGGGAGGUGGCGCUGUAGAAGGCUCCAGGAGUGAAGCCCUGGUAGGCUCUGGAGGCAGAGCCGGGGGAGGUGGCGCCGUAGGAGGCUCCAGAGGUGAAGCCCUGGAAGGCUCUGGAGGUGGAGCCAAGGGAGGCUUUAGAGGCGGAGCCGCAGGAGGCUCCAGAGGCGAAUCUCUAGAAGGCUCUGGAGUCUUAGGGAGCAGAGCCGUAGGAGGCUCGGGUGGUGGAGCCGUGGAAGGCUCGAGAGGCGGAGCCGUAGGAGGCUCGAGAGGUGAAUCUCUAGAAGGCUCUGGAGUCUUAGGGAGCAGAGCUGUAGGAGGCUCGGGUGGUGGAGCCGUGGAAGGCUCAAGAGGCGGAGCCCUAGGAAGCUCUGGAGUCUUUGGGAGCAGAGCCAUGAGAGGCUCGGGAGGUGGAGCCGUAGGAGGCUCUGGAGGGGGAGCCGUAGGAGGCUCGGGAGGCAGAGCCAUAGGAGCCUCUAGUGGCCGAGCCCUGGG